RNAcentral lists this ribosomal RNA (702 nucleotides) under Neomysis orientalis. Its description in RNAcentral is "12S ribosomal RNA". The record is from RNAcentral. Lineage: Eukaryota; Metazoa; Arthropoda; Malacostraca; Mysida; Mysidae.
UUUAGUCAAGAAUCUGCAAUAAUAUAAGGGCAGCAGGCGAGUUACAAAUUUAUAUGUAAAUAGUUGGCUAAUUGCCUUAAAACAGAGUUGCUUCAGUAAUUCUAGUUCUUUAAUUUACAACAAUAACAUAAGUUUCUUUAAUUUUGUUAUUUUACCUGUGCAGUUAUAUUUUUAUCAAUAAGUUUAUUGUAAAGUACGAUUAGAGUUUAAUUUAUAUUUAAGUAUUAGUUCAACUUUUGAUGGUGAAAUAGCUAAAAUUUAUUAUACAAUUAAUUUAAUAAAAUUUAUUCUUAAAACAAAGAUUAGACACCUUUUUAUUAUAAACAUAAUUUAACUAGUUACAAAUUACAAGAUAUGGCGGUAAAUUAUAUUUAGAGAAACUUGCAAUUAAUAGAUACACCUCGUUUAAUUUAACUUAAAUUUAUUUAGUUUGUAUACCGUCAUUUUACUUUUUUUAAAUUAAAAUAUAAGAUAUUAAAGUGUAUUAUUAGAUUAAGGUGCAGCUUAUAUUUAAGUCUAAAGUAAGUUGCUGUUAUUAAAAUUAAAGAGGUAAGCUUGGAUAAUUACUGAAUACGGAUUUAAAAGUAAAUUAUAAUUAGAUUAUUAUUUUUGAAUAAACAAAGUUUAUGUACAUAUUGCCCGUCAAUUUCAUAAGUUUUGAAAUAAGUCGUUACAAAGUAGAUUUAUCUAAAGAUGAAUCUA